Molecule: ribosomal RNA, 404 nt
Filed under: Fusobacteriota bacterium
Lineage: Bacteria; Fusobacteriati; Fusobacteriota
Description: Fusobacteria bacterium partial 16S ribosomal RNA
Rfam family: Bacterial small subunit ribosomal RNA
Source: RNAcentral
UGGGGAAUAUUGCACAAUGGAGGGAACUCUGAUGCAGCGACGCCGCGUGAGGGAUGAAGGAAUUCGUUUCGUAAAACUCUGUUCUAUGGGAAGAAAAGGACUGUACCAUAGGAGAAAGCUCCGGCUAAAUACGUGCCAGCAGCCGCGGUAAUACGUAUGGAGCGAGCGUUGUCCGGAAUUAUUGGGCGUAAAGGGUGCGCAGGCGGCUUUACAAGUUGGAUGUGAAAUAUUGUGGCUCAACCACAAACGUGCAUCCAAAACUGCAAAGCUUGAGUUAAGGAGAGGUAAGUGGAAUUCCUGGUGUAGCGGUGGAAUGCGUAGAUAUCAGGAGGAAUACCGGUGGCGAAGGCGACUUACUGGACUUAAACUGACGCUCAGGCACGAAAGCGUGGGGAGCAAACAGG